Long non-coding RNA from Coregonus clupeaformis (lake whitefish), 2066 nucleotides. RefSeq lists it as uncharacterized. The record is from RefSeq and is a predicted model, not a curated record. Lineage: Eukaryota; Metazoa; Chordata; Actinopteri; Salmoniformes; Salmonidae. The transcript has 3 exons.
GCGAAUUUAGCGAACCCACUUCGGUACAACGAACUCUCCCUGGCCUCAUCACCUGAGCUCCCGUCUCAAUCGGUGUCUCCCCCAGUGUCUCCCGCCGCCGCCACGGUAGAAGAAUGCGAGGAUCCUAGCCCUCACCCCGGCCGCCAAAAGGAUUCGUCUUGACGACCAGGGAAAUGGACAGAAACGGCCUCCAUGACCAACAAGGCCGAUCAGGGAGACCCGGUUUCACCACCGUCCCUCCACCUCCACCGUCCCCGGCUUCGCCAGGAAACUAUGGAUGCUGCUGGAGUGACCUGGUCAAAUCUGUCACAUGGAGCAUGAGCGGGAGGUGUGUUGCCGUUGACAAGGAGAUGUUCGUUUAGGACAUUCUGGAGAUGGCUGUACCACGUGUGUUCAUCACCCAGAGAAUGCAGAGUAUCUACCGCCAGCUCAACCUGUACGGUUGCCGUGAUCGAGAACAGCAUCUCGGGUGUCCCGUUAAGCACUGCUGGGUUGAACGGCACUCAGAGCGUAACCAAGGUAAUUAACACACACAUAUUUUUGGGAAGAGUAGAUUGUUGAUUUCAUAUUUAGCUACAGUGUAUAUGGCAAUGAAUAAUACUGUAUCAGAAUUCAUUUAAUCAUAAUUUAUUACCACCACCACUUCCACCAUGGGGGGCCCUGUCGUCCGGCCUCUGCCCAUGCUCGGUGAGGGUUCCCAGGCACACCUGCGGCCACCGAUGGCCUCCCCUUGGAUGUCUCUCUCCAACCCACUCUACAGAGAGUCUUAAAUGACUUCUCACAACUGUGCCAACACAGCCUCCUCCUCUUCCUCCUCCUUCGCUCCAGUCUUCCCUCCACCCCUGCCCUGCGCUAACUGCGGCUACAUCCAGGGCCCUACAGCCCCCACUACCUCACGGCUGCCCCAAAGAGGACAGACUAGGCCGGAGAUACUCUACUACCUCCAUCCCCUAUAUACACCCACAAAGCGAUAUCUAAAUUGACCAAAAACGGUACCCUGCAUUUUAUGUGGCUUUUUCUCUGUUAAUCUGUUGUUUUCUCUGUUAAUCAGUUGUUUUCUUUGUUAAUCAGCUGUUUUCUCUGUUAAUCAGCUGUUUUCUCUGUUAAUCAGCUGUUUUCUCUGUUAAUCAGUUUUUUUCUAUGCGAAUCAGUUUUUUCUCUGUUAAUCCAUACAUUAUUCACAUCUACCAGCUGCAAUAUUAUGUUUACAUUCCAAAUAGCACUCUAUUCUCUAUAUAGUACACUUCUUUUGACCAGAGACCUUUAGACCCUUCUCAAAAUUAUGAGUGCCAGUUGGGACACAUCUAUGUGUGCAUUCAAAAAGCCAGCUUUAUUCAGAAUUAUACUUCCUUCCUUUGCCAACAGGUGGCAGCAGAGUCAUAUCAUUCCAUUACAACAGCUAUGCUUAUAGGAGUGUUUACUUUUUGUGAUGUAACCCCAUAAUGAGGUUAGGGGUUCUUCCCAAAUGGCACCCUACUCCCUAAAUAGUGCACUACUUCUAACCAGAAACCAUAGGGCUCUUGUCAAAGGUAGUGCACUAUAUAGAGAAGGUUCUGACAUAUGUAAUAUUACUGCUACAGUAUAUGGGUGGGGCUUACUAUGUGGUUGUCUGGAUCUGUAGCCAGUGGGUGGGGCUUACUAUGUGGUUGUCUGGAUCUGUAGCCAGUGGGUGGGGCUUACUAUGUGGUUGUCUGGAUCUGUAGCCAGUGGGUGGGGCUUACUAUGUGGUUGUCUGGAUCUGUAGCCAGUGGCUUGUUAUAGGCUACCCAGAUAUUAACAUUUCAUACAGUAAGUACACUGUAGCCCCCAGGCAUAGCAAUACUAGCAUAGGAAUCCUGCAUGUACGAUGUAAUAACCUAAUAAUGAAUAUUAUAUAUAGAAUUAAAGUCAAUUAUGUAAUGAUAACUUUUAUGCAUUGCAUUUUACAGGGCUACACACACACACACACACACACACACACACAAAAACAGCUCUAACAGCGCUAAUGUUGAAACCCACAGGUACACAAACAGCCUCUCUUUCUCUCUUUCUGUCUUUCUGUCUUUCUGUCUCUCUCUCUCUCUCUC